Molecule: ribosomal RNA, 249 nt
Filed under: uncultured organism
Description: partial 16S ribosomal RNA
Rfam family: Bacterial small subunit ribosomal RNA
Source: RNAcentral
UGGGGAAUAUUGGACAAUGGGCGGAAGCCUGAUCCAGCAAUGCCGCGUGGAUGAUGAAGGCCUUCGGGUUGUAAAGUCCUUUCGGCGGGGAAGAAGAUGACGGUACCCGCAGAAGAAGGACCGGCCAACUACGUGCCAGGAGCCGCGGGAAAACGCAGGGGGCACACGCGGUCCGGGUUUUUUGGGGGGAAAGAGCUCGGGGGUGGGUCGGUACGUCGGAGGUGAAAAUCAGGGGGUCAACCCCAGACG